This 596-nucleotide ribosomal RNA is filed under the name Trichophyton cf. mentagrophytes ATCC 18748. Its description in RNAcentral is "eukaryotic LSU rRNA". It matches the Rfam family "Eukaryotic large subunit ribosomal RNA", at positions 40 to 648 of the family's 3401-position model. The record is from RNAcentral. Lineage: Eukaryota; Fungi; Ascomycota; Eurotiomycetes; Onygenales; Arthrodermataceae. RNAcentral also lists the same sequence under 4 other names.
AUAUCAAUAAGCGGAGGAAAAGAAACCAACAGGGAUUGCCCCAGUAACGGCGAGUGAAGCGGCAAGAGCUCAAAUUUGAAAUCUGGCCUCCCCCGGGGGCCCGAGUUGUAAUUUGCAGAGGAUGCUUCGGGUGCGGCCGCCGUCUAAGUUCCUUGGAACAGGACGUCAGAGAGGGUGAGAAUCCCGUCUUGGGCGGGCGGUCCGCGCCAGUGUGAAGCUCCUUCGACGAGUCGAGUUGUUUGGGAAUGCAGCUCUAAGCGGGUGGUAAAUUUCAUCUAAAGCUAAAUAUUGGCCGGAGACCGAUAGCGCACAAGUAGAGUGAUCGAAAGGUUAAAAGCACCUUGAAAAGGGAGUUAAACAGCACGUGAAAUUGUUGAAAGGGAAGCGCUUGCGGCCAGACUCGGGGGCGGGGUUCAGCGGGUGCUCGUCGCCCGUGUAUUCCUCGUCUCCCGGGCCAGCAUCAGUUUCGACGGCCGGUCAAAGGCCCCCGGAAUGUGUCGUCUCUCGGGACGUCUUAUAGCCGGGGGUGCAAUGCGGCCUGUCGGGACUGAGGAACGCGCUCCGGCUCGGAUGCUGGCGUAAUGGCCGUAAGCGGC